Molecule: long non-coding RNA, 1440 nt
Filed under: Equus asinus (donkey)
Lineage: Eukaryota; Metazoa; Chordata; Mammalia; Perissodactyla; Equidae
Description: lncRNA (ENSEASG00005025892.1)
Source: RNAcentral
UCAUUUUCACUAUUUGUGUUUCAAAAAAGAUAUAUUAGGGUCCUGCCCAGUGGCGCAGCGGUUAAGUUCGCACGUUCCGCUUCUCGGCGGCCCUGGGGUUCACCGGUUCUGCUCCUGGGUCAGAGGAAGAUGGGCAUGGAUGUUAGCUCAGGGCCAGUCUUCCUCAGCAAAAAGAGGAGGAUUGGCAGUUGUUAGCUCAGGGCUAAUCUUCCUCAAAAAAAAAAAAGAUAUAUUAAGUUGCUUUAUAAUUAAAUUAUUUCCUGAGGUAACUAUUGUCCUUAAACAUUAGGCCACUGGUUAAGAAAUAGCAUUUGACUUUUUAGUAGUAUUAUCUGCACCUUUCAGAAUGAAUACACCAAAUUUUAAAUCUUAUUGCUGUACUCUAAAAGAAUAGUUCUAUGAUGUACAAAAAAGCACAUAUUGAGAACUGCCAGAGCAGCUGAUACCAUGUGCCAUCUAAGCCAGUGAGCUCCCGUGCUUUGGACUUGUAUCGGGGAGCCCACUUAUUUAGGAGGUUUCCUGAAGAAGUGCCCUCAGUUGCAGGACUCUAUAGUUGUCCAACAGCUCCAGUCUCUUCCAGCACACUUAACAUCCUGCCGAAGCAAAUGUAACUUGCAGAUUUGGGCAAAAAACAGAAAACAAAGAGCACAAUGAGGAUUAUUAGCACAGCCAGUUUAAAAUGAUGAGGUGUUAACCACAUUUGUAUAAAUAACAGUUUCUCUAACCCCUGAAUCAUUAUCCUGUAUUUUUAAUGCAAUCGGUUCAUAAACAUCAAAGCAAGAACACCAAAUUCGUAUGGGGUCAGGACCAACUGGGGCUCUGAAUGGGAAGACAGCUGAGAGCUGUGUCCUUAUGCGUGGGUGGCCUCGCAGCUGUUGAUUCACCCUUAGGCUACUAGACAGUUGCCUCUGUGCUUGCAGAACCAGACUUCAGUCUUAGGUAAAAAUGUAUCCCCUCCCAUGGAAUGGCCAUAAACAAUGGAUUGACAUCAGCUCUCAAAACAUCAGCGAGGCAGCCAGACACAGCAGUUCCCCUGAAAUACUGAGUAGUACCAAGCAUAACAUCAGGGCUGUUUCUACAUAAUAUUUGUCUUUGUACGCUAACACUGGGUCUCUUAAGUGUACUAUAAAAGCUCAUAGUCCGAAAGGUUCAAGGUGAUAUUAUCUUUCUCCACAAAUGGUAAGAGCGCUAGGAAUAACUAGCUUGCAUGACGCACAACUGCCAUAUUUUGGUCCUUACAAGGACUCCCAAAUAUACUUCUUAAUGACAAGUGAAAUUAUAUUUACAUCGAACAUUUUUAGAAAAAUCAGUAUUCGUUGUGAGAUGAUAGAAGGCAUAAUUUUGGAAUCAAAACUGAGUUCAGAGUUCAUUUGGACUCUUAUUAGCUAAGUGUCCUUGCACAAAUUUCUUAAACUUUUGAGACUUAAAAUCAGGCAUGGG